GGGCGGGGUCACAGCCUAGACUAGCGCACGACAUGUCCAUGCUGCAUCCGGUGUGUGAGGUUCUGCUGGUCGCCUCUGUGUCCUCCAGCAGGAAAGCAGGGCCCACCGCAGUCUUUGCCUUACGCCUGCAAGGACCCCGUCUCCACAGCAGGUCACAUUCCAGGGCUCCACCGGACUGCACAGGAUCCCCGCGACAAUGAAGUGUCACCGGCACAGCCUGACCUGGCAGGAACUUGGAUCUUUCUACCCAGAAGCGAGUGUGAGGCUAUGCACACAUCACAAAACUCUUUCUGGAAGUUGUAGUGUACAGAAAGGGAGUACCUUUCCUGCCUCCUUUAUGCUUGUUUUUGUGUAGCGUCACGGCAUUUAGUUCUAUAAGCAGGUGAAUCCUCAGAUUUAAACCCGGGCGCACCAGCUCUUGGACUUGAGAACUGUCGCGCACCUGUGCCUUGGGAGGAAGUGUCGGAAUAUUAUCAGAAGUGCCGGUAACAGGCAGGGCCUUCUGGGUCAGACGCCAAGCUGGGGUGGUCUGCUGAAGCGAAUGCGGCUCACUUUCUGCAACCCGAGAAUCUUACACGGUGAUGGAGUCUGAGGAGAUUAAACCCAAGGUCUGCACGUUCCCCUCACCGUCUGUCAUUUGACUUGAAAGAUCUGUGGCCCCAAACCCAGGAACACAAAGCAGAAUGGAAGUUGACGUGACCAGAUUUUGUAGUGAAAAUCCAUACUGAAGAUUUGACAUUUUCUGUAUUUGGAGCCAUGAAAUUAAAGAAGAAAAGCCA
Callorhinus ursinus (northern fur seal) is the source of this 779-nucleotide non-coding RNA. The record is from RefSeq and is a predicted model, not a curated record. NCBI's taxonomy places the organism in Eukaryota, Metazoa, Chordata, Mammalia, Carnivora, Otariidae.